Molecule: ribosomal RNA, 301 nt
Filed under: uncultured bacterium
Lineage: Bacteria
Description: bacterial SSU rRNA
Rfam family: Bacterial small subunit ribosomal RNA
Source: RNAcentral
UCCUACGGGAGGCAGCAGUGGGGGAUUUUGCCCGGUUGUGGGGACCCUGAUGCAGCGACGCCGCGUGGGUGAAGAAGCGCCUCGGCGCGUAAAGCCCUGUCAGCAGGGAAGAAAAUGACGGUACCUGAAGAAGAAGCCCCGGCUAACUACGUGCCAGCAGCCGCGGUAAUACGUAGGGGGCAAGCGUUAUCAGGAUUUACUGGGUGUAAAGGGGGCGCAGACGGCGAUGCAAGCCAGGAGUGAAAGCCCGGGGCCCAAACCCGGGACUGCUCUUGGAACUGCGGGGCGGGAGUGAAGGAGG